Molecule: ribosomal RNA, 495 nt
Filed under: uncultured bacterium
Lineage: Bacteria
Description: partial 16S ribosomal RNA
Rfam family: Bacterial small subunit ribosomal RNA
Source: RNAcentral
GAUGAACGCUGGCGGCGUGCCUAAUACAUGCAAGUAGAACGCUGAAGGAGGAGUUUGCCCUUCUGGAAGAGUUGCGCACGGGUGAGUAACGCGUAGGUAACCUGCCUGGUAGCGGGGGACAACUAUUGGAAACGAUAGCUACUACCGCAUGACAACAGUUAUUGCAUGAUAACUGUCUAAAAGGGGCAACUGCGCUACUACCAGAUGGACCUGCGUUGUAUUAGGUAGGUGGUGGGGUAACGGCUCACCAAGGCGACGAUACAUAGCCGACCUGGAGGGGUGGUCGACCCACCUGGGACUGGGGCACGGGCCAGGCUUCUUCGGGGAGGAGCAGUAGGGGAACUUCGGCAAUUGGCGGAAGGCUGACCGAACAACGCCGCGUGGGUGGAGAAAGGUUUCGGAUCGUAAAGCUCUGUUGUGAGGGAAGAACGGGUGGGAGGGUGGAAAGUUCACGCUGUGACGGUAUCUUACCAGAAAGGGACGGCUAACUACGUG